This 70-nucleotide transfer RNA is filed under the name Epidaus famulus. RNAcentral's name for it is "tRNA-Lys". The record is from RNAcentral. RNAcentral also lists the same sequence under 1 other name. Lineage: Eukaryota; Metazoa; Arthropoda; Insecta; Hemiptera; Reduviidae.
CAUUAAGUGACUGAAAGUAAGUAAUGGUCUCUUAAACCAAAAAAUGGUAAUUAACAAAUACCCUUAAUGA